Molecule: unclassified non-coding RNA, 354 nt
Filed under: soil metagenome
Description: partial contains 5.8S ribosomal RNA, internal transcribed spacer 2, and large subunit ribosomal RNA
Rfam family: 5.8S ribosomal RNA (bases 1-119)
Source: RNAcentral
GAUGAAGACGUAGUGAAAUGCGAUAAGUAGUGUGAAUUGCAGAAUUCAGUGAAUCAUCGAAUCUUUGAACGCACAUUGCGCCUUCUAGUAUUCUGGGAGGCAUGCCUGUUUGAGCGUCAUUAAACCUCUCUCAAGUAUGAUUACUUGGAUGUGAAGGAAGAGUACCUUAAACUUAAGGAGUGUUCUCCUUUGAAAUUGAUUAGCAGAUGGUAAUGUUAUUAAAUCCCUGAUGUUGUAAGAAAUAACAGUGGUUUUGUAGACUAUUAUCUAGCUUUAAAUUAUAAUUUUUAUUAUGGUUGACCUCAAAUCAGGUAAGGAUACCCGCUGAACUUAAGCAUAUCAAUAAGCGGAGGA